UUGGCCCACAUAUCAGAUAUUAAACUGAUAAGAACAGAUACUACACUUGAUCUUAGCCAAAAGGCGGAGAAAGAUAUGAGUUCUUCUGCUGCCCUGCCCCUUCUUUUAUAG
This 111-nucleotide ribosomal RNA is filed under the name Triticum aestivum (bread wheat). Its description in RNAcentral is "partial small subunit ribosomal RNA". Lineage: Eukaryota; Viridiplantae; Streptophyta; Magnoliopsida; Poales; Poaceae. The record is from RNAcentral.